CAGCAGCCGCGGUAGUACGGAGGGCGCGAGCGUUACCCGGAUUUACUGGGCGUAAAGGGCGUGUAGGCGGCCUGGGGCGUCCCAUGUGAAAGGCCACGGCUCAACCGUGGAGGAGCGUGGGAUACGCUCAGGCUAGAGGGUGGGAGAGGGUGGUGGAAUUCCCGGAGUAGCGGUGAAAUGCGCAGAUACCGGGAGGAACGCCGAUGGCGAAGGCAGCCACCUGGUCCACUUCUGACGCUGAGGCGCGAAAGCGUGGGGAGCAAACCGGAUUAGAUACCCCCGUAGUCCCUGUCUCUUAUAC
This 301-nucleotide ribosomal RNA is filed under the name uncultured bacterium. RNAcentral's name for it is "partial 16S ribosomal RNA". It matches the Rfam family "Bacterial small subunit ribosomal RNA", at positions 509 to 807 of the family's 1533-position model. The record is from RNAcentral.